GUCGCACGAGAACGGAGCAAUCCUAGUAAAGUGGCGGAAGGGGGAGUAAUGGGUAGAUAACGUACCACGGAGAUGGGCAUAACGGCUCGAAAGAGCCGCUAAUUCCCGAUAAGACCACGGCUGGGCAUCCAGUUGAGGUCAAUUGAGGGGGACCUUCGGGCCUCUCGCUCUGUGAUCGGUCUACUCCCUACCAGCUAGUAGGCGGGGUAAUGGCCCACCUAGGCUGCGACGGGUACCCGGACUAAGAGGUUGAACGGGCACAUCGGCACUGAGACACUGGCCGGACACCUACGGGUGGCUGCAGUUCGGAAUAUUCGGCAAUGGACGAAAGUCUGACCGAGCGACGCCGCGUGCGGGAUGAAGGCCCUCUGGGUUGUAAACCGCUUUAGGGAGUGAGCAAACUACUCGGUGCGAACAUCAUCGGGUAUUGAGUUAAGCUCCUAAAUAAGCCCCCGCUAAUCACGUGCCAGCAGCGGCGGUAAUACGUGAGGGGCAAACGUUGUUCGGUGUCACUGGGCUUAAAGGGUGCGUAGGUGGUUGCGUAAGUAACGUGUGAAAUCCCCCGGCUUACCCGGGGAAUUGCGCGUUAUACUGCGUAACUUGAGGACUGUAGGGGAAUGGGGAACUCCAGGUGUAGCGGUGAAAUGCGCAGAUAUCUGGGGGAAGGCCGGCGGCGAAGGCGCCAUUCUGGGCAGUUCCUGACACUG
RNAcentral lists this ribosomal RNA (707 nucleotides) under uncultured microorganism. Its description in RNAcentral is "bacterial SSU rRNA". It matches the Rfam family "Bacterial small subunit ribosomal RNA", at positions 61 to 748 of the family's 1533-position model. The record is from RNAcentral.